This 467-nucleotide ribosomal RNA is filed under the name uncultured bacterium. RNAcentral's name for it is "partial 16S ribosomal RNA". It matches the Rfam family "Bacterial small subunit ribosomal RNA", at positions 28 to 507 of the family's 1533-position model. The record is from RNAcentral.
GAUGAACGCUGACAGAAUGCUUAACACAUGCAAGUCCACUUGAAUUUGGGUUUUUAACUUAGGUUUGGGUGGCGGACGGGUGAGUAACGCGUAAAGAACUUGCCUCACAGCUAGGGACAACAUUUGGAAACGAAUGCUAAUACCUAAUAUUAUGAUAAUAGGGCAUCCUAUAAUUAUGAAAGCUAUAAGCGCUGUGAGAGAGCUUUGCGUCCCAUUAGCUAGUUGGAGAGGUAACGGCUCACCAAGGCGAUGAUGGGUAGCCGGCCUGAGAGGGUGAUCGGCAACAAGGGGACUGAGACACGGCCCUUACUCCUACGGGAGGCAGCAGUGGGGAAUAUUGGACAAUGGACCAAGAGUCUGAUCCAGCAAUUCUGUGUGCACGAUGAAGUUUUUCGGAAUGUAAAGUGCUUUCAGUUGGGAAGAAAGAAAUGACGGUACCAACAGAAGAAGUGACGGCUAAAUACGUG